Molecule: long non-coding RNA, 150 nt
Organism: Neomonachus schauinslandi (Hawaiian monk seal)
Lineage: Eukaryota; Metazoa; Chordata; Mammalia; Carnivora; Phocidae
Exons: 4
Source: RefSeq, a predicted model, not a curated record
CUCCUAUAGAGAGCUGCAACAAUGCCCAAAAGAAAGGCUGCCGGUCAAGGUGAUAUGAGGCAGGAGCCAAAGAGAAGAUCAGCCAGGCUGUCUGCUAUGCCUGUGCCCAUUACACCAGAGUUGAAGCCCAAAAGAACAUCAACUCCAAAG